This 467-nucleotide ribosomal RNA is filed under the name uncultured bacterium. RNAcentral describes it as "partial 16S ribosomal RNA". It matches the Rfam family "Bacterial small subunit ribosomal RNA", at positions 28 to 507 of the family's 1533-position model. The record is from RNAcentral.
GAUGAACGCUGGCGGCGUGCUUAACACAUGCAAGUCGAACGGAAAGGCCCAAGCUUGCUUGGGUACUCGAGUGGCGAACGGGUGAGUAACACGUGGGUGAUCUGCCCUGCACUUCGGGAUAAGCCUGGGAAACUGGGUCUAAUACCGGAUAGGACCACUUCUUGGAUGUUGUGGUGGAAAGUUUUUUCGGUGUGGGAUGAGCUCGCGGCCUAUCAGCUUGUUGGUGGGGUAAUGGCCUACCAAGGCAUCGACGGGUAGCCGGCCUGAGAGGGUGUACGGCCACAUUGGGACUGAGAUACGGCCCAGACUCCUACGGGAGGCAGCAGUGGGGAAUAUUGCACAAUGGGCGCAAGCCUGAUGCAGCGACGCCGCGUGGGGGAUGACGGCCUUCGGGUUGUAAACUCCUUUCGCUAGGGACGAAGCGUUUUGUGACGGUACCUGGAGAAGAAGCACCGGCUAACUACGUG